AAUAGUUAAUAUGCAUAAGUCUUUUCUUAUGUAUGGUGCAUAAGUCAUUCACAGCCAUCAGAUGAUUUUACACAUGUAAUAAUCAUAACUGAAGAACUUUCUAUUUUUGCUUGCUCAAUUUCGACACAUUUUACAUGCGAUUCGAUCACCGAUUUCGAAAACUAAUACCGGAAACAUUCAUAAAAUCGAACGACGAUCAAAACGGUAUAAAGAACGUCGAGUUUCGUUGAUUAUUGAGGGAGAACGAACCGGGUCGACGAACCGGGUCGUCGCGACCCGUUUCUGCAG
This 288-nucleotide long non-coding RNA is filed under the name Trifolium pratense (red clover). RNAcentral's name for it is "long non-coding RNA (TPRA_LNC003195)". The record is from RNAcentral. Lineage: Eukaryota; Viridiplantae; Streptophyta; Magnoliopsida; Fabales; Fabaceae.